AGUGAACGCUGCGGCGUGCUUAACACAUGCAAGUCGAACGAGAACGGAUUAUAGCUUGCUAUAAUUGUCAGCUAAGUGGCGCACGGGUGAGUAAUAUAUAGGUAACAUGCCCUAGAGAGGGGGAUAACAGAUGGAAACGUCUGCUAACACCCCAUAUGCCUUUAAGACCUAAGUCUGCAAGGGAAACAUUUAUGGCUCUAGGAUUGGCCUGUGCGGUAUCAGUUAGUUGGUGAGGUAAUGGCUCACCAAGACAAUGACACCUAACUGGUUUGAGAGGAUGAUCAGUCACACUGGAGCUGAGACACGGUCCAGACUCCUACGGGAGGCAGCAGUGGGGAAUAUUGCACAAUGGACGAAAGUCUGAUGCAGCAACGCCGCGUGGAGGAUGACACAUUUCGGUGCGUAAACUCCUUUUAUAUAGGAAGAUAAUGACGGUACUAUAUGAAUAAGCACCGGCUAACUCCGUGCCAGCAGCCGGGUAAUACGGAGGGUGCAAGCGUUACUCGGAAUUACUGGGCGUAAAGAGCGUGUAGGCGGGUAAUAAGUUGGAAGUGAAAUCCUAUGGCUCAACCAUAGAACUGUUCCAAAACUGU
Molecule: ribosomal RNA, 593 nt
Filed under: uncultured bacterium
Lineage: Bacteria
Description: bacterial SSU rRNA
Rfam family: Bacterial small subunit ribosomal RNA
Source: RNAcentral